This 253-nucleotide ribosomal RNA is filed under the name uncultured bacterium. RNAcentral's name for it is "partial 16S ribosomal RNA". It matches the Rfam family "Bacterial small subunit ribosomal RNA", at positions 524 to 776 of the family's 1533-position model. The record is from RNAcentral.
UACGAAGGGGGCUAGCGUUGUUCGGAAUUACUGGGCGUAAAGGGCUCGUAGGCGGCCAACUAAGUCGUACGUGAAAUCCCUCGGCUUAACCGGGGAACUGCGUCUGAUACUGGAUGGCUUGAGUUCGGGAGAGGGAUGCGGAAUUCCAGGUGUAGCGGUGGAAUGCGUAGAGAUCUGGAAGAACACCGGUGGCGAAGGCGGUGGUCUGGGCCAUUACUGACGCUGAGGAGCGAAAGCCAGGGGAGCGAACGGG